CCUACGGGGGGCAGCAGUGGGGGAUAUUGCACAAUGGGGGAAACCCUGAUGCAGCGACGCCGCGUGUGGGAAGACGGUCCUCUGGAUUGUACACCACUGUCCCCAGGGACGAAGAUGACGGUACCUGGGGAGGCAGCUCCGGCUAACUACGUGCCAGCAGCCGCGGUACUACGUAUGGAGCAAGCGUUGUCCGGAAUUACUGGGUGUAAAGGGAGCGUAGGCGGGAUGGCAAGUUGGGUGUUAAAUCUACCGGCUCAACUGGUAGUCGCACUCAAAACUGCUAUUCUUGAGUGAAGUAGAGGCAGGCGGAAUUCCUAGUGUAGCGGUGAAAUGCGUAGAUAGUAGGAGGAACACCAGGGGCGAAGGCGGCCUGCUGGGCUUUGACUGACGCUGAGGCUCGAAAGUGUGGGGAGCAAACAGGAUUAGAUACCCCGGUAGUC
RNAcentral lists this ribosomal RNA (440 nucleotides) under uncultured bacterium. RNAcentral's name for it is "partial 16S ribosomal RNA". It matches the Rfam family "Bacterial small subunit ribosomal RNA", at positions 338 to 795 of the family's 1533-position model. The record is from RNAcentral.